Molecule: long non-coding RNA, 1157 nt
Filed under: Ananas comosus (pineapple)
Lineage: Eukaryota; Viridiplantae; Streptophyta; Magnoliopsida; Poales; Bromeliaceae
Description: long non-coding RNA (ACOM_LNC015598)
Source: RNAcentral
UUUUCCAAACUAUGCCUUAACCCUUCGGGUGCGUUUGGCUCGCAUUAUCUUUUAAAGAUUCCUAGUAAUUCAAUAGGAAUAAAAAAAUAUGACGGUAUUUGGCUAAACGUACUAAGUAAUCCAGUUAGUAAUAUUGGAUUCAUUUGGGAAUAAGAUUCACCCCAAAGUACUAAUCUCAUUCCCUUGAGGGAGGUUGGGUAUCAUCAUAUUAAUGGAUUGUAAUCAUAAUAUAUCUAAUCUCUUUCUUUCUCUCUAUCCGCCGGCUUAUUGAUAUUAUUUUUCGUUACACUCUAAUCUUAUAUCUAUCUCUUAAUUUAUCUCUCUCUAAAAUUCAACUUUUUUUUCUCUCUCUAAACUAAGCUUUCUCUCUCUCUCUUUUUAAAAUCUCAACUCUCUCACUCCUUCUAAUUUCGACUCUAUUUCUCUUUUUAUUUUUUUAAUUAUGCUCUUUCUCUCUCUCUAACUUAUACUUUCUUUCCUUUUUUUCUAAAAAGAUGUUGAAAUUUUUGGUAAUAUUAUCUAAAAUUAAUUAAAUAAAUAAAUAAAUUAAUUGUAUAUUUUUUGCAAUAUUAAAUAACAUGGCUAAAUAAUAUUACCGUGCGAACCAAACGCAGGAAUUCCACAUUCUUAGUAAUAGGAUGAAUAAGAAUAAAAUUCUCGGAUAUCUUUUCAUUCAUAGUAAUCUUUUAAUAAUGCGAACCAAACGCACACUUCAAGUCAAGUUAUCGGAGCUCCAAGAAGUUUUAUGGUGAUAUGAAAAGUAACUCCGUAGCAAAUAUUAGGCCGAACCCGACCUGAGCCGAUCGAGAUCUGUUUUUAACUCGGGUUCAGCUUGUUGGCUAUUUAUUAUUGAACUAAAUUAGGUCCAACUUUUUGUCUUAUAACAAUAGGUCCAGAAGACUAAUAAAUUGAAUUGGAUGAGUCUAAUAAGUUAAAUAGGACUACGGUCUAUAAGAGAACUAACGGCAAGAGGCUUAAUAAUACGCCUAACGUUUAGAUGGGUUAAGUCAGAUCGAAAUCCGUAAGCGCUGUGGUUGAGCUUUUAAGUGCGAUGGGUGCGUCUUCUCAUCAGCAUGUAUUUUGAAAUAGUUGGUUAGAACUUACGAUCCACAUAGCUAUGACUGGAUAUUAGAUAAGAUUUGCCAUGUGGGUUUAUA